GAUGAACGCUGGCGGCGUGCCUAAUACAUGCAAGUCGAGCGAACGGACGAGAAGCUUGCUUCUCUGAUGUUAGCGGCGGACGGGUGAGUAACACGUGGAUAACCUACCUAUAAGACUGGGAUAACUUCGGGAAACCGGAGCUAAUACCGGAUAAUAUUUUGAACCGCAUGGUUCAAAAGUGAAAGACGGUCUUGCUGUCACUUAUAGAUGGAUCCGCGCUGCAUUAGCUAGUUGGUAAGGUAACGGCUUACCAAGGCAACGAUGCAUAGCCGACCUGAGAGGGUGAUCGGCCACACUGGAACUGAGACACGGUCCAGACUCCUACGGGAGGCAGCAGUAGGGAAUCUUCCGCAAUGGGAGAAAGCCUGACGGAGCAACGCCGCGUGAGUCAUGAAGGUCUUCGGAUCGUAAAACUCUGUUAUUAGGGAAGAACAUAUGUGUAAGUAACUGUGCACAUCUUGACGGUACCUAAUCAGAAAGCCACGGCUAACUACGUG
This 497-nucleotide ribosomal RNA is filed under the name uncultured bacterium. RNAcentral describes it as "partial 16S ribosomal RNA". It matches the Rfam family "Bacterial small subunit ribosomal RNA", at positions 28 to 507 of the family's 1533-position model. The record is from RNAcentral.